This 30-nucleotide non-coding RNA is filed under the name Mus musculus (house mouse). Lineage: Eukaryota; Metazoa; Chordata; Mammalia; Rodentia; Muridae. The record is from RNAcentral.
UGAGAAUUACUGUUUAAAACUUUUGUGAGA